GUGGGGAAUCUUGGACAAUGGGCGCAAGCCUGAUCCAGCCAUGCCGCGUGUGUGAUGAAGGCCUUAGGGUCGUAAAGCACUUUCGCCAGAGAUGAUAAUGACAGUAUCUGGUAAAGAAACCCCGGCUAACUCCGUGCCAGCAGCCGCGGUAAUACGGAGGGGGUUAGCGUUAUUCGGAUUUAUUGGGCGUAAAGAGCGCGUAGGCGGCCUUACAAGUCAGAUGUGAAAGCCCCGGGCUCAACCUGGGAACUGCAUUUGAUACUGCCAAGCUAGAGUAUGAUAGAGGCAAGUGGAAUUCCAGGUGUAGCGGUGAAAUGCGUAGAUAUCUGGAGGAACAUCAGUGGCGAAGGCGACUUGCUGGAUCAAUACUGACGCUGAGGUGCGAAAGCGUGGGUAGCGAACAGGAUUAGAAACCCUAGUAGUCC
This 425-nucleotide ribosomal RNA is filed under the name uncultured bacterium. RNAcentral describes it as "bacterial SSU rRNA". It matches the Rfam family "Bacterial small subunit ribosomal RNA", at positions 354 to 796 of the family's 1533-position model. The record is from RNAcentral.